AUACGGAGGGUGCAAGCGUUACUCGGAAUCACUGGGCGUAAAGCGCGCGCAGGCGGCUAUUUAAGUUGGAUGUGAAAGCCUACGGCUCAACCGUAGAACUGCAACCAAAACUAUUUAGCUAGAGUGUGGGAGAGGAAGAUGGAAUUAGUUGUGUAGGGGUAAAAUCCGUAGAGAUAACUAGGAAUACCAAAAGCGAAGGCAAUCUUCUGGAACACUACUGACGCUGAGGCGCGAAAGCGUGGGGAGCAAACAGGAUUAGAUACCCUAGUAGUCC
This 274-nucleotide ribosomal RNA is filed under the name uncultured bacterium. RNAcentral describes it as "partial 16S ribosomal RNA". It matches the Rfam family "Bacterial small subunit ribosomal RNA", at positions 523 to 796 of the family's 1533-position model. The record is from RNAcentral.